CGGGAAAUUUGAAAAUAACUCAAAUGCUCAAAGCUAGUUGUCUCAUCAAAUUGUGAAUGAAACAAAAGUAUUAUGCAAAAUACUUUCAUUUUACUAACAUUUCAAAUUCAAAUAUUGUUGUUUACAAGAAAAUAUGAAUACCCGAAAUUAAAAUGCUGGUUAAAUGAAGUAUUUUGUAAAAUAUUUUGGUUUCACUUACAAUUUAUGUGACUACCAGGUCCGACCAUUUAAAUUUCACAAUUAAAUGGUUUAUAUAAAAUAUAGGUAGAUGGAAUAUUGAAAUACAGGAUGAUUAUUAUAAUUUUUAUUUUGUUUUUGACAUUUUAUAACUAUAUAAUAACAAUAACAAAUAAUGUUUUUAAUAUUUGUAUUAUUUUUCUUAUAUCUAAUUUUAAAUCAAAAAUAUAUACGGAUGCAGAAAAAAUCGCUUGCAAACACAACUACUUCCUGUGUAAUUAUUUAAACGAGUACUUCUUGGAAGGUAACGAUGUCUUCCGAUAAAAGUCGCACCUGCGCGAGUAUGGCUUAAGUUUCAAUAGAAUUAUCGAUGACGUCAAAAACAGAGAUGGCGCACCUCCCAAGACUAUUGUUUCAUCUCCUAACUACAAUUUACUGGAAUGAGAAUAUUUCUUUACUGGUAACUUAUCUGGAUAAUAAAAAAAACAAUACCUCUUUCUUGUAUAUCUCUAUAAAUCCGCCGAAUCUAGUCUACGCUUCAGUUAAAUCUCUAUAUUGCAGUAUUUCAGUCAAUUCCUUCACUCAUUUAGAUCGUAACCAAAUUGACUUCACAGAAACUUCUCCUCACUCUCAGUUUUAAAUUUUUUCCCACUUUUAUCUGUUCUUUUGAAAACACAAGAAAGACGACCUAAACCUUGAUCUACUGAAACGAAUGUCUAAAUCUCAUCGAAAAUUGACACAAUUUCAUUCACCGACCGAUAUUUCUUAUUAAUUAAUUUUGAAGACAGGGGCUCAUUUUCAUUUUUUAGUUUAUUAACAAAUAAUAUUUGAUGCUUCGAAUGAUACAAAUUUAACCAUACUAUUUAUGGUAAUAUGUUCAUUUACCAAUUAACAAGUAUAUAUGUUCUCAUAUUACAACCAUUUUUUUAUUAACCUCAAAUUGUACUAUAGUUUCCAUGACAUGACACUGAAUAUUAACUUUACUCAAAAACGGAUUUUACAGCUAAUUAUCAGGAAGUAAUAGUUCUUAAUUACCAAAUUUGUCAUUAUCAGCAUUUAUUAUUUAAAUCAUUCUUAUAGACCAAUUGUACCAAAGUUAAUGCCAAAAAUUUUAUUUUUUAUUGCAGUUUUAAUUGAAGUGUGGUUUCUUAAUUUUUUCAGUAUUAUAGACUAAGAAGAGUUUCAAAAUGAAAAUUUAUUAUUUUAAGAAACUUUAUUUUUUACUCACUCCUCCUAAUGAGAUUCGAUCAUCAACCAUACAAUUGCAAGCCUGGUUCACUCAUCAUUAAGCUAUCGAAUCUCUUAUAUUUUAGAUUUAUUUUACAGGAAAUUAUCAUCAAAAAGAAAGUAUGCGAAAUUUGAUUAGAAAAUUCGUUCUAACGAACUAAGAAUGCGAAAUAAAGUGCGAUGAAAAGGAAAUUCAAUGGCAAGGGUUCUUACACAAAGAAUUUCUUGUUAGAGAAUCCUUGACUUAAUUUCUACAUUUAUGACACAAAAGGAAAUUAUUUUGGGAUAUUAUGAAUAACUUAAGGAAACGGAAAUAGGUUUACCCAUAAUAGUCCAAAAUAAUUUGAUGUAUCAAGAAGAAUUUUCUUCUCAAGUAUGUAAAUGAAAGUAUGUUAAAACAUUAAAAAAUAAUUUUAAUGCUAUAAAGUGAUUUAUAAUCGUUUAAGUAGAAAAGAUUGUCCCUACUAAAAAUUAACCGAAGAUUCGUCAUACAAGAUACCGUUAAAUAGACAAAUUCAGUAUGCAUAAAGUUUACACGAACAUUUGGGUAUUGAUAAAAUGAGCCAUUAGAAAUGGGACAUAGCAAUCAAUUCAGACCGUAAAGCUGCUAUCAACACAUCGAGCUAUCAAGUCAUCGAUUAGAAGUUUAUUUGGGACUGUAGGAAACUCGAUGCCCUAGGUAAGAACAAGAUAUUUUUUAUUUGGGUUUCGGGUCUUCGGAUAAUUAAGGAAAACGGGUAAGUAAGGAUUAACCAGAAAAGGAAUGCAAAAGCCUUUUCAUGGUUCGAAACCUUUCAUUUACAAGUAAGAUUUUCAGAAGGAACAACUCUUCCAAGAUUCAAUUACCUCCUUCGGAACAUUAGUACUGCAAGUUCUAAUUCAAACUAGAAUAUUUGUAAAUAUAUGCUAGACCUUCUCACUACAGUCUCAGAAAGUACCUAGUUAUCAUACCACAUGUUACAAAAAAGUGACCGUUUUGAAAAAUAAAUUUAACGAAGAAUUUUAUAAUUUUUGUGCUGAAAAUACAAUCCUGCUGAUAUUUUCAUUAACGAAAAAAUGAAGAUCGUUCAAGAAUAUACUGCUAGUAUGUAUGACAUCAAGAACUGCACCAACGUGAAUGAUGCGAAAUUUCGCAUUUUUAUGAAAAAUUACUCUGCUAAAGAAAACAGCGAGCAGUUUUUAAAAAAAUAAAAGGCUUCGACUCCAACUCCAUACCACCAUGGUGGAUAUCAUUGACUCGUUAAUUCCAUUAAUGCAACGGAUCCAAUAUGUAUAAAACAACUGCGGUUGGUUCUUAGAUAAAUAUUUAAAGCCAAUAGAAUUCAUUGGAGAUCAUGCACCUCCAAGAAUUGAAGACAUUGUCGACACCACUGAAAUAGAAAACGAUGAAGAAGGUUGAGAAGUUGGUGAUCACAGUUAUCUGUCUGAUGACUCGGAAUCUCAAUAGCAUUUAAAAAUUUAUUAUUUAUUACAAUAAACAAAAUAUUUUUUUUCA
Long non-coding RNA from Diorhabda sublineata, 2899 nucleotides. RefSeq lists it as uncharacterized. The record is from RefSeq and is a predicted model, not a curated record. The transcript has 2 exons. Lineage: Eukaryota; Metazoa; Arthropoda; Insecta; Coleoptera; Chrysomelidae.